GAUCCUGCCGGAGGUCACUGCUAUUGGGAUUCGACUAAGCCAUGCGAGUCGAGAGGGUUCGGCCCUCGGCUGACGGCUCAGUAACACGUGGAUAAUCUGCCCUAAGGUGGAGGAUAACCUCGGGAAACUGAGAAUAAUACUCCAUAGGUCUAGGAUGCUGGAAUGCACUUAGGCUGAAAACUUCGGUGCCUUAGGAUGAGUCUGCGGACUAUCAGGUUGUAGUCAGGGUAAAGACCUGACUAGCCUACGACGGAUACGGGUUGUGAGAGCAAUAACCCGGAGAUGAUAUCUGAGACACGAUAUCAGGCCCUACGGGGCGCAGCAGGCGCGAAAACUUCGCACUGCGCGAAAGCGCGACGAGGGAAUCCCAAGUGUAUGCACGUAAGUGUAUACUGUUUCUCUGUCUAAAAAACAGAGAGAGUAAGAGCUGGGUAAGACGGGUGCCAGCCGCCGCGGUAAUACCUGCAGCUCGAGUGGUGAUCGUUAUUAUUGGGCCUAAAACGUCCGUAGCCGGUCUUUUAAAUGCCUGGGUAAAUCGUAUGGCUUAACCAUACGAAUUCCGGGUAGACUGUUAGACUUGAGACCGGGAGAAGCUAGAGGUACUCCUGGGGUAGAGGUGAAAUUCUGUAAUCCUAGGGGGACGACCAGUGGCGAAGGCGUCUAGCUAGAACGGGUCUGACGGUGAGGGACGAAGCCCUGGGGCGCAAACGGGAUUAGAUACCCCGGUAGUCCAGGGUGUAAACGCUGCUUGCUUGAUGUUAGUCUGGCUCCGAGCCAGAUUAGUGUCGGAGAGAAGUUGUUAAGCAAGCUGCCUGGGAAGUACGGCCGCAAGACUGAAACUUAGAGGAAUUGGCGGGGGAGCACAGCAACGGGUGGAGCGUGCGGUUUAAUUGGAUUCAACGCCGGA
This 907-nucleotide ribosomal RNA is filed under the name uncultured archaeon. Its description in RNAcentral is "bacterial SSU rRNA". It matches the Rfam family "Archaeal small subunit ribosomal RNA", at positions 10 to 922 of the family's 1478-position model. The record is from RNAcentral.